AGGUAAUAGUAUGGGGAGGUCUGCCCGACAGAGGGGGGUAAUAACUGGAAACGGGUAGGUAAUACCGCAUAAUGUCUACGGACCAAAGCAGGGGCUCUUCGGACCUUGCACUAUCGGAUGAACCCAUAUGGGAUUAGCUAGUAGGUGGGGUAAAGGCUCACCUAGGCGACGAUCUCUAGCUGGUCUGAGGGGAUGAUCAGCCACACUGGGACUGAGACACGGCCCAG
RNAcentral lists this ribosomal RNA (227 nucleotides) under uncultured bacterium. RNAcentral's name for it is "partial 16S ribosomal RNA". It matches the Rfam family "Bacterial small subunit ribosomal RNA", at positions 107 to 334 of the family's 1533-position model. The record is from RNAcentral.